UCCGAGUUGACCCCGGCAGUCUCCUACGAGUCCCCACCAUUACGUGCUGGCAACAUAGGACAAGGGUUGCGCUCGUUGCGGGACUUAACCCAACAUCUCACGACACGAGCUGACGACAGCCAUGCAGCACCUGUGUUCCGAUUCCCUUUCGGGCACCCCCACCUCUCAGCAGGGUUCCGGACAUGUCAAGGGUAGGUAAGGUUGUUCGCGUUGCAUCGAAUUAAUCCACAUCAUCCACCGCUUGUGCGGGUCCCCGUCAAUUCCUUUGGGUUUUAGCCUUACGACCGUACUUCCCAGGCAAAGAACUUAAUGCGUUAGCUACGGCACCGCGGGGAUCAACACCCACGACACCUAGUUCUCAUCGUUUACAGCGUGGACUAC
This 381-nucleotide unclassified non-coding RNA is filed under the name uncultured bacterium. RNAcentral's name for it is "contains 16S-23S intergenic spacer region". The record is from RNAcentral.